Molecule: long non-coding RNA, 534 nt
Organism: Eubalaena glacialis (North Atlantic right whale)
Lineage: Eukaryota; Metazoa; Chordata; Mammalia; Artiodactyla; Balaenidae
Exons: 3
Source: RefSeq, a predicted model, not a curated record
CAGGGACCAGCAGGAGCAGCUCGGAGCCCGGAGGCUUUGCUCCCACUACGGGCAGCCGCGCACCCCUGGGACCGACACCCGGAAGGAUGCACGAACACACGUCCACGCAUCCCCGUUCCAGCCCCGGCGGGGCCCCAUCCCCUGCCCCACGCCCGCUCGGCUACCUUGGUCCGAACUUGCUGGGGCUUCCAAUGCGGCCGCAGCUCCCGGAUGAGGCGCAGGGCGCCGGGGAGGAUGUCGUCCUGGUCCACGGAUAUGCCGAAGCACGGGACGGCGGCGGCCCUCGGGGGGCCCGGCGGUUCCCGGCAGCCCGCGCCGGCCGCAGCCUUCUCCUCCAUGCCCCAUGAGCACUGCGGGCAAGGCGCCUGCCUCCUCAGGAACCUCUCAACCACAAGCCUCCUGUCCUGACUGCUGUCCAGAAUCCAGCUCUGCCCAGUGGAACUUCUGUGAUGAUGGACAUGUCCUAUAUCUGUUCUGUCCAGUGCAGUGGCCACCAGCCACAUGUGACUAUCCAUCAAUUGAAAUGCGGCUAGU